GUUCAAUCAAACCGCACAACACUGAGCUGCCCUUUGCCAAGCUCUGCCUCCGGCCCUGCAGCUUGGUUUGAAGCAGGACCUAUUCCGACCCACUACAGCUUAGAGAUGCGGCCACGCACGCGUCUUGCUCCGUCUGCUUUGGGCCUCCAGGAUCUCAUGUAGCCCAGGCUGCCCUUUAUUUCCUGCUGCUGGCCCUCCAACUUCCUGAUUGUGGAGAUGAGAAGAGAUGGCAUUUACCAAGAGCUCAGCCUAGUGAGGGGACUAAGCCUGGGAUGAUGCUACAAACUGAAGCCCCACACUUGGGAGAGUAGUUGACAGAUCAGACAACAAAAUGUUCAUCCUCCUGCCUGACCGCCAUCUUUGUAACCAUCAGCAAGACCACGCCCCACGUUUCAGGGACUUCCUGGAUUCUGAAGAUUGGUGCAGGAAUAAGAGCAUGUGAGGAGCGGAGAUCAGACAGGAACGCUGUGUUCAAAGGAGAAAAUGUUUGAGCUUCUUCUGAGAAGGCAGAAGUUGCUGUGAUAAGCUGCUGCAGGCUUCAAGUGGGUCCUCAGUGAGAUGGGCUGGAAUUUGACGAGAACUGGGAAUCAAAAUUAAAUUG
Molecule: long non-coding RNA, 601 nt
Organism: Arvicanthis niloticus (Nile rat)
Lineage: Eukaryota; Metazoa; Chordata; Mammalia; Rodentia; Muridae
Source: RefSeq, a predicted model, not a curated record